This 900-nucleotide long non-coding RNA is filed under the name Apteryx rowi (Okarito brown kiwi). Its description in RNAcentral is "lncRNA (ENSARWG00000007013.1)". The record is from RNAcentral. Lineage: Eukaryota; Metazoa; Chordata; Aves; Apterygiformes; Apterygidae.
ACGCCUACAGUGCGCUCCCCCUCACUCCUUUUCCUCGGAGUGCCCGGCCCCGGCCCCCUUCUGCCCCUUUCCCCGGCAGGGUGAUACUUUGUCAAGCCGUAAUCCAACCCUGCUAAACCCGCGGGUAGAGCUGAAGCGCUGCGAUGAAUCUCAGCAGACUCAUUCCUCUCCUCGAGAGCUUGCUGCCCUUAGAAAUGACUUCAGCGCACUUUUGCAAGUGUAAAGGGAAAUCAAGAUCCCCUCUUCAUGUCUCUUGAUCUUCACCAGACUAGAAGAACCUGUAGUUCUUAGAGCUGCAGUGGAAAGUGACCUGUUGUGUUUGUGGAAGCUCUGGAAUCCUGCAGGAGAAGGAUCACUCAGCACCGUGGCAAUCUGCCAAGUACAACUUGUUCUGAAACACAGUGGCUCUGAGAAGUUGCAUUAUCAACUGAAACACAAUGUCAGCUUAGCAGGAGCAGGUUGCCCUCCAACUGUCUUCAAAUACAGGAAAUAUUUGUGAAGUGAGAGGUAUGUGAGGCAAUGUUUUGGGGUGGUAAUGUUGAUCUUGUAUAUUACUUAGGGGAUUCUUUAUUUCAGUCGUGAUUAGUCUAAUGCAGUUUGUUAGGUGAUUCCAAGCGUUCUCUUUGGGCUUUGGCUUCACUUUGUCCAUGCAGAGGACCACAGAAAUAGACUUCCGCGUGAAAAUGAACCUGUUUAGUGAAGAUUUCUGUUCUAUAGAGAGAACAAAUGGAACUAAAGAAGCGUGAAGACUUUGUAUAGAAUUAAUAUGCUCCACUGAUUUAGUUUGUUGAUUUCAUUAAGCUAAGGUGCACGAAAGAUGUAUGAAAGACGUAUAAAUCAAGCUUAUGGAAUAUAAGUCAACAUGCUAUUAGGACAAGAGAAGCAGGUUGCAAAGUCCAG